GACGAACGCGGCGGCGUGCCUAAUACAUGCAAGUCGAACGAGAGCGACCGGUGCUUGCACUGGUCAAUCUAGUGGCGAACGGGUGAGUAACACGUGGGUAACCUACCCAUCAGAGGGGGAUAACAUCCGGAAACGGAUGCUAAAACCGCAUAGGUCUUCGAGCUGCAUGGCUUGAAGAGGAAAAGAGGCGCAAGCUUCUACUGAUGGAUGGACCCGCGGUGCAUUAGCUAGUUGGUGAGGUAACGGCUCACCAAGGCCGUGAUGCAUAGCCGACCUGAGAGGGUGAUCGGCCACAUUGGGACUGAGACACGGCCCAAACUCCUACGGGAGGCAGCAGUAGGGAAUCUUCCGCAAUGGACGCAAGUCUGACGGAGCAACGCCGCGUGAGUGAAGAAGGUUUUCGGAUCGUAAAACUCUGUUGUUAGAGAAGAAACAA
RNAcentral lists this ribosomal RNA (436 nucleotides) under Granulicatella adiacens. RNAcentral's name for it is "bacterial SSU rRNA". It matches the Rfam family "Bacterial small subunit ribosomal RNA", at positions 28 to 453 of the family's 1533-position model. Lineage: Bacteria; Bacillati; Bacillota; Bacilli; Lactobacillales; Carnobacteriaceae. The record is from RNAcentral.